This is a long non-coding RNA of Peromyscus eremicus (cactus mouse), 494 nucleotides long. RefSeq lists it as uncharacterized. The transcript is spliced from 4 exons. The record is from RefSeq and is a predicted model, not a curated record. NCBI's taxonomy places the organism in Eukaryota, Metazoa, Chordata, Mammalia, Rodentia, Cricetidae.
AGAAUUGCUUCUUGUCCCUCAGAUUCUAUGUUACCUGUCCUCGGUCCCCUUGGAAUCUCUUGAGAGAGCCGAGUCCUGUGUGUUCCUAGGCCCUGCCACAGGGACCUGGACGCCCUGCCUGUUGAGGCAAGGUUGUGGAUGUCCCGGGCCUUAUGGUCCCUGCUUCGCAUGAUGUGGGGCAGCAUCCAUCUGAACGCUCAUCACUACCAAGGCCAAGGUUUUGGAAGGAAGUCCUUCUUCUCCCAUCUUAGUAUUAGACCAUCGGAUUUGGGACACGGGACUAAGGCCGCUGACUCUGCAUCCCUUCCAAGCAUACACAGCUGCCUGCCCUUUUGCCUUGUGUCCAUCCUGGAGCGGCCUUCUCCAAGAUUCUAUGUUACCUGUCCUCGGUCCACUUGGAAUCUCUUGAGAGAGCUGAGUCCUGUGUGUUCCUAGGCCCUGCCACAGGGACCUGGACGCCCUGCCUGUUGAGGCAAGGUUGUGGAUGUCCCCGG